UAAACGGUUUUGGUGUUGAAUGAAAGGCUGGGACACUCACACACGAGACUCUUUCUUCUCAAUGCUGUGGUGUCUCAGUGAGCAGGAGGCUCUGGAUGACAGGAUGUACAGAAAGAUGUUCAUCUGUGGACACAGUAUACCAGGAUCUGCAGGCACUCACCGACACCACCAUGGCGAUGGGUCCAGCAAAGCUCCAGAUCAGCGUAUCGUACAUAGACAACCAACAGAAAUCGGGGUUUCCAUAGCCUUCGGGGUCCAGUCCCACUGCCAAACCUGCAGACAAACCCAGAAAAACAGAUGGAAGGGCAUCCUGGGGUAGCUCCUCCCAGACCUGGAUCACAGCAUCACUGAGCUCCUGACAGUUUGGUCACAAACAUGCACGAGUAGCCCACUGGAGGUCACUCUGAAGGGUUCUUGCAGAGCUCCUCCUGUUCCUCCUCACGCAAAGGAGCAGACUGAUGCAUUUCUACAACCCUGUCUAACACUCCUUGUGUAGCAGCCCAUCUCCUGGCAUC
Archocentrus centrarchus (flier cichlid) is the source of this 515-nucleotide long non-coding RNA. RefSeq lists it as uncharacterized. The record is from RefSeq and is a predicted model, not a curated record. The transcript is spliced from 3 exons. Lineage: Eukaryota; Metazoa; Chordata; Actinopteri; Cichliformes; Cichlidae.